Molecule: transfer RNA, 78 nt
Filed under: Pseudomonadota bacterium
Lineage: Bacteria; Pseudomonadati; Pseudomonadota
Description: tRNA-Arg
Rfam family: tRNA
About the family: Transfer RNA (tRNA) molecules are approximately 80 nucleotides in length. Their secondary structure includes four short double-helical elements and three loops (D, anti-codon, and T loops).
Source: RNAcentral
GGCUCCGUAGCUCAGCCGGAUUAGAGCAGCCGCCUUCUAAGCGGCAGGUCGCAGGUUCGAGCCCUGCCGGAGUCGCCA